Molecule: long non-coding RNA, 777 nt
Filed under: Homo sapiens (human)
Lineage: Eukaryota; Metazoa; Chordata; Mammalia; Primates; Hominidae
Description: HSALNT0387183
Source: RNAcentral
UUUACUUAUGCAACUGUUUGCAGUCCUUUGGUUGCUCCUUCUCUCAGUGUCAUGCAAAACUUUGCAGAAAUGACCUGUGAAUUUGAUCCAAAGAAUGUAUCAUUGCUACUCAAGGGACAUGCUAUGUACAGAAACAAGACUAUGACGAAUGCACACUUGCCGAUUGCUGGAUUUCAAUCAGAGCUGCUAACAGUGUGGUCCUUUGUCCAGUGCCUGUCUGCAAACUACUGGCUACCCAUCCAUGGUGGCCGAGUGCCAAGGAGAAACCACUUGUAGAUGGUCUGUUUAAUGGCUCCAAAGUCAGGAUGCAGCAUCCGCAGUCAGCCUUCCCAGCCCAGGCUUGUGAGAAGAAAUGCCACCUUGGAAGUGACCCUCCAGUGUCUGCUGUCCAUGAGGCAUCACUCUCCAUUAGAGAUGAAUCACUCAACUAAACGCAUCCUGAAUUCUUCAUCUACAAAGUUGUGAACAAAAUAAAAUGACCUUUUAUUUAAAGCCAUUGAGUUUGGAUGUAGUUUGGUACGAUAUGAAACUAGAAUACUUGGUAAAGACAAAUGUUAGUUCUUGGGAUCCAAGACUCUAAGAGUGAACAUAUUUCAUCGCAGGAGGAAAGAUGUAAGGGACUCUAGUCUUACAUCUUGGGUUCACUAUUUCUGUGUCACGUGGUCUUCACAUACUUCUCAUUUCUUACUAUCUAGGCAGUUCAGUGAACUAAUUUCUUAAUUUAGUGUUUUACCUGAGUAUUGUUUUCCAGCUUCAAAAUGGCUUUAUAAAAUGCAG